Molecule: non-coding RNA, 29 nt
Filed under: Bombyx mori (domestic silkworm)
Lineage: Eukaryota; Metazoa; Arthropoda; Insecta; Lepidoptera; Bombycidae
Source: RNAcentral
CCACAAUGGUGACACCUCGUCGUCGGCUC